Molecule: ribosomal RNA, 1357 nt
Filed under: uncultured bacterium
Lineage: Bacteria
Description: bacterial SSU rRNA
Rfam family: Bacterial small subunit ribosomal RNA
Source: RNAcentral
CCUGGCUCAGGACGAACGCUGGCGGCGCGCCUAACACAUGCAAGUCGAACGAGAGAUGAGGAGCUUGCUCUUCAAAUCGAGUGGCGAACGGGUGAGUAACGCGUGAGGAACCUGCCUCAAAGAGGGGGACAACAGUUGGAAACGACUGCUAAUACCGCAUAAGCCCACGGCUCGGCAUCGAGCAGAGGGAAAAGGAGCAAUCCGCUUUGAGAUGGCCUCGCGUCCGAUUAGCUAGUUGGUGAGGUAACGGCCCACCAAGGCGACGAUCGGUAGCCGGACUGAGAGGUUGAACGGCCACAUUGGGACUGAGACACGGCCCAGACUCCUACGGGAGGCAGCAGUGGGGAAUAUUGCACAAUGGGGGAAACCCUGAUGCAGCGACGCCGCGUGGAGGAAGAAGGUCUUCGGAUUGUAAACUCCUGUUGUUGAGGAAGAUAAUGACGGUACUCAACAAGGAAGUGACGGCUAACUACGUGCCAGCAGCCGCGGUAAAACGUAGGUCACAAGCGUUGUCCGGAAUUACUGGGUGUAAAGGGAGCGCAGGCGGGAGAACAAGUUGGAAGUGAAAUCCAUGGGCUCAACCCAUGAACUGCUUUCAAAACUGUUUUUCUUGAGUAGUGCAGAGGUAGGCGGAAUCCCCGGUGUAGCGGUGGAAUGCGUAGAUAUCGGGAGGAACACCAGUGGCGAAGGCGGCCUACUGGGCACCAACUGACGCUGAGGCUCGAAAGUGUGGGUAGCAAACAGGAUUAGAUACCCUGGUAGUCCACACCGUAAACGAUGAUUACUAGGUGUUGGAGGAUUGACCCCUUCAGUGCCGCAGUUAACACAAUAAGUAAUCCACCUGGGGAGUACGACCGCAAGGUUGAAACUCAAAGGAAUUGACGGGGGCCCGCACAAGCAGUGGAGUAUGUGGUUUAAUUCGACGCAACGCGAAGAACCUUACCAAGUCUUGACAUCCUGCGACGCACAUAGAAAUAUGUGUUUCCUUCGGGACGCAGAGACAGGUGGUGCAUGGUUGUCGUCAGCUCGUGUCGUGAGAUGUUGGGUUAAGUCCCGCAACGAGCGCAACCCUUAUGGUCAGUUACUACGCAAGAGGACUCUGGCCAGACUGCCGUUGACAAAACGGAGGAAGGUGGGGAUGACGUCAAAUCAUCAUGCCCUUUAUGACUUGGGCUACACACGUACUACAAUGGCGUUAAACAAAGAGAAGCAAGACCGCGAGGUGGAGCAAAACUCAGAAACAACGUCCCAGUUCGGACUGCAGGCUGCAACUCGCCUGCACGAAGUCGGAAUUGCUAGUAAUCGUGGAUCAGCAUGCCACGGUGAAUACGUUCCCGGGCCUUGUACACACCGCCCG